GUGCCAGCCGCCGCGGUAAUACCGGCAGCCCGAGUGAUGGCCGAUCUUAUUGGGCCUAAAGCGUCCGUAGCUGGCUGCGCAAGUCCGUCGGGAAAUCCACCUGCCCAACAGGGGGGCGUCCGGCGGAAACUGUGUGGCUUGGAACCGGAAGGCUCAGAGGGUACGUCCGGGGUAGGAGUGAAAUCCCGUAAUCCCGGACGGACCACCGAUGGCGAAAGCACUCUGAGAAGACGGCUUCGACAGUGAGGGACGAAAGCGAGGGUCUCAAACCGGAUUAGAAACCCGAGUGUCC
Molecule: ribosomal RNA, 292 nt
Filed under: uncultured bacterium
Lineage: Bacteria
Description: partial 16S ribosomal RNA
Rfam family: Archaeal small subunit ribosomal RNA
Source: RNAcentral